RNAcentral lists this ribosomal RNA (291 nucleotides) under uncultured soil bacterium. Its description in RNAcentral is "partial 16S ribosomal RNA". It matches the Rfam family "Bacterial small subunit ribosomal RNA", at positions 26 to 343 of the family's 1533-position model. The record is from RNAcentral.
AGAACGAACGCUGGCGGCAGGCUUAACACAUGCAAGUCGAACGGUUGUAGCAAUACAGCAGUGGCAGACGGGUGAGUAACACGUGGGAACCUUCCUAGGGGUACGGAACAACUCAGGGAAACUUGAGCUGAUACCGUAUACGUCCGUGAGGAGAAAGUUUUAACGCCCCUAGACGGGCCCGCGUAGGAUUAGGUAGUUGGUGAGGUAACGGCUCACCAAGCCUACGAUCCUUAGCUGAUCUGAGAGGAUGAUCAGCCACACUGGGACUGAGACACGGGCCCAGUACCUACC